GAAAUGCGAUAAGUAAUGUGAAUUGCAGAAUUCAGUGAAUCAUCGAAUCUUUGAACGCACAUUGCACCUACCAGUAUUCUGGUAGGUAUGCCUGUUCGAGCGUCAUUUCAACCCCUCAAGCGCUGCUUGGUGUUAGGGCCCUACGCGUCCGCGUACGCCCUCAAGACUAUUGGCGGGCUCUCUCGUGGCACCGAGCGUAGUAACUACUCGCCGCUCUGGUAGAUCGGAGGGUCCCGGCCGUUAAAACCCCACCAUACCAAAGGUUGACCUCGGAUCAGGUAGGAAUACCCGCUGAACUUAA
This 301-nucleotide unclassified non-coding RNA is filed under the name uncultured Rhexodenticula. Its description in RNAcentral is "sequence contains ITS1". The stretch from base 1 to 105 matches the Rfam family "5.8S ribosomal RNA", at positions 50 to 154 of the family's 154-position model. Lineage: Eukaryota; Fungi; Ascomycota; Sordariomycetes. The record is from RNAcentral.